AGAGUUUGAUUCUGGCUCAGAACGAACGCUGGCAGCGUGGAUUAGGCAUGCAAGUCGAACGGGAAGCGGUUGUUUCAAUCUUCGGAGAGAAAGAGCCGUGGAUAGUGGCGAAAGGGUGAGUAACGCGUGGGUAACCUGCCCCUGAGUUGGGGACAACGUCUGGAAACGGGCGCUAAUACCGAAUACGGUACGCCGUCGCAUGGCGGCGCUAUUAAAGGUGGGGAUUCUUCGGAACCUGCCGCUUUGGGAGGGACCCGCGUCCCAUCAGUUUGUUGGUAGGGUAACGGCCUACCAAGGCUUACGGGUAGCCGGCCUGAGAGGGUGAUCGGCCACACUGGGACUGAGACACUGCCCAGACUCCUACGGGAGGCUGCAGUCGAGGAUCAUUCGCAAUGCGCGAAAGCGUGACGAUGCGACGCUGCGUGGAGGAUGAAGGCUUUCGGGUUGUAAACUCCUGUCAUGAGGGAAAAGACGCACGAAUGUUAAUAACAUUUGUGCCCGAUGGUACCUCAAGAGGAAGCGACGGCUAACUCUGUGCCAGCAGCCGCGGUAAUACAGAGGUCGCUAGCGUUGUUCGGAUUUACUGGGCGUAAAGCGUACGUAGGUGGUUUCGUGUGUCGGGUGUGAAAUCCCACAGCUCAACUGUGGAACUGCAUCCGAAACUGCGGAACUUGAGUGCAGGAGGGGAGAGCGGAAUUCUUGGUGUAGCGGUGAAAUGCGUUGAUAUCAAGAGGAACACCGGUGGCGAAGGCGGCUCUCUGGAAUGUUACUGACACUGAGGUACGAAAGCUGGGGGAGCAAACAGGAUUAGAUACCCUGGUAGUCCCAGCCGUAAACGGUGCACACUUGGUGUGGGAGGUAUUGACCCCUUCCGUGCCGGAGCUAACGCGUUAAGUGUGCCGCCUGGGGAGUACGGCCGCAAGGCUAAAACUCAAAGAAAUUGACGGGGGCCCGCACAAGCGGAGGAGCAUGUGGCUUAAUUCGAUGCAACGCGAAGAACCUUACCUGGGCUUGACAUGGUGACCCUUCGGGGGUGGGGGUGAAAGCUCCUUUUACAAUCACAGGUGCUGCAUGGCUGUCGUCAGUUCGUGCCGUGAGGUGUUGGGUUAAGUCCCGCAACGAACGCAACCCUUGUGUUUAGUUGCCACCGGUGGUGAUGAGCCGCCGAGCACUCUAGACAGACUGCCCGUACAAGCGGGAGGAAGGUGGGGAUGACGUCAAGUCAGUAUGGCCCUUACGCCCAGGGCUGCACACGUGCUACAAUGGUCGGUACAAUGGGAUGCUAUAUCGUGAGGUGGAGCAAAUCCCCAAAGCCGGCCCAAGUUCGGAUUGGAGUCUGCAACUCGACUCCAUGAAGUCGGAUUCGCUAGUAACGCCGUAUCAGCUACGACGGCGUGAAUACGUUCCCGGGCCUUGUACACACCGCCCGUCACAUCAUGAAAGCCGUCUGCACCCGAAGUCGCUGAGCUAACCAUUUAUGGAGGCAGGUGCCGAAGGUGUGGGUGGUGAUUGGGAUGAAGUCGAAACAAGGUA
RNAcentral lists this ribosomal RNA (1533 nucleotides) under metagenome. Its description in RNAcentral is "bacterial SSU rRNA". It matches the Rfam family "Bacterial small subunit ribosomal RNA". The record is from RNAcentral.